RNAcentral lists this ribosomal RNA (465 nucleotides) under uncultured bacterium. RNAcentral describes it as "partial 16S ribosomal RNA". It matches the Rfam family "Bacterial small subunit ribosomal RNA", at positions 339 to 795 of the family's 1533-position model. The record is from RNAcentral.
CUACGGGUUGCAGCAGUGGGGAAUAUUGGACAAUGGGGGAAACCCUGAUCCAGCAAUGCCGCGUGUGUGAAGAAGGCCUGCGGGUUGUAAAGCACUUUCGGUUGGGAGGACUGCUUCUAGCACUAAUAUUGUGGGAAGUUGACGUUACCUUCAGAAGAAGCACCGGCUAACUCCGUGCCAGCAGCCGCGGUAAUACGGAGGGUGCAAGCGUUAAUCGGAAUUACUGGGCGUAAAGCGCGCGUAGGCGGCUAGAUCAGUCGGGUGUGAAAGCCCCGGGCUUAACCUGGGAACUGCAUCCGAUACUGUCUAGCUUGAGUACAGGAGAGGAGAGUGGAAUUCCACAUGUAGCGGUGAAAUGCGUAGAUAUGUGGAGGAACACCAAUGGCGAAGGCAGCUCUCUGGCCUGAUACUGACGCUGAGGUGCGAAAGCGUGGGGAGCAAACAGGGUUAGAUACCCUUGUAGUC